Molecule: microRNA, 25 nt
Filed under: Echinops telfairi (small Madagascar hedgehog)
Lineage: Eukaryota; Metazoa; Chordata; Mammalia; Afrosoricida; Tenrecidae
Description: Ete-Mir-3085_5p* (star (passenger))
Source: RNAcentral
GGGUGCCAUUUCCAAAGCCAGGAGU